RNAcentral lists this long non-coding RNA (5186 nucleotides) under Oryza sativa (Asian cultivated rice). RNAcentral describes it as "long non-coding RNA (OSAT_LNC000426)". Lineage: Eukaryota; Viridiplantae; Streptophyta; Magnoliopsida; Poales; Poaceae. The record is from RNAcentral.
UAAACCACCUAUCUUUACUAGUUGAUUCAGUUUAGGCUAGUUCUUCUACCUUCUGCUCUGUUCUCUACCUCCAAGGUCCUAUCUGUCUCUUCUCGUUUCACCGAAGACAACGAGUGGUGACCACAUCACGAACUGCGCCGCUGUGGCCAACUCCUAUUUGAGGGGUUGCUGCCAUUGAGGUGAACACAUUACUGCAUCGCCCCCAAUCAGUCCAUGGUCUGAUCCUCGUAGGGGAUGAUGCAGGACAAGCCCAACCACGAUGAGAGCCAUCUUGUGGCUGUUGCACAAAUCGGACGCUGCCACCCAAAUCCAUCGCAAUGAUGGUUUCCUUGCAAUGGAGGUGCUCCAGCAACAUCACAUAUUCACAUCUAAAUUCAUGUCGUGGUAGUUGAGCUCGAGCUUUACCUCCACUUGGCAAUGGGGAAUUUCUUCUGCCCUUAUCUUCUUUAUUUCUGUCAAGUGCAACCAAGGUCCUUAGGCCAUUUUUCAAUCACAUGGCAUUGAUGCUGGUGCUGGCGGAGUUCCAGCGCAAGCACGGCACUGGCAGGUGGCUGCUCAACCUGCUCACUUGUAGUGGUGGUUCUUGUUGGAAUUAAUGGAUGGGCCUUAGUCCACUCGAAGAUUAAUUCUUUGGAAAAUUACAAAAGCCCACCUCAUGGGAUAACAUGCAUGUGGAGUUUAGUACCACCUUGCUUAUUCUAGGAGAGGGGGACCUUCUUAAAAGGGAGGAUGCCCUCCUAGCCACUUGAAACAUGUGUGGUGGAGAGAAGAGGGGGAACACGCGCGUGCUCGCUCGCCUCGCCUAGCAGGGCAGGCGGCGCGCGUGCACGACGUUACGCGUCAAAUUCGGUUACGCGCAGUGGAGAUCGUGCAGGCGCCCUGAUCAAGCGACCCUUCUUUAUAUAAACCGACCCGCCGUCUUCACGCAACACACGCGAAAUCAAUCUAGGGUUUGCCUCCUACUCUGUGCUGCGCCGUCGCUCGUAGAUUACUCCAUCCCGCUCACCGGCGUGCAUCGGCGAUCGGGAGAGCAGGUCUCCGGAACCUCUGCCUUCGACGUCCCUGCACGCCGGCGAUCGGGAGAGCAGGUCUCCGGAACCUCUGCCUUCGACGUCCUGCACAGCCGGUCUUUCUACCACCUCGGUACAUGUUUAAUAUGUUGCGCAUAUUUGAUCUGUUCAUGUUUUACUGCUUAGUUUACAUGUGUAGAUCUAAUGAUGCGUUAAUGCUAGUAUACAUCUGCAAUGCCAUGAUUUAUUUAUGAAAUAUAUUAAAUCAUUAUAUGCUUAUAAUCUCAACAAUCCAAAAACCUUAUUAUAGGCACUGUGAUUUUACUAUGGCUGGUUUUGCCGAUGCACUGAGGCCGGAUAAAUUCACCGGUGUGCACUUUAAGAGAUGGCAGAUCAGGGUCACUCUGUGGCUGACAGCUAUGAAAUGUUUCUGGGUGAGUACUGGCAAACCUGAAGGAGUUCUUACUACUGAACAGCAGAAGCAAUUCGAGGAAGUCACUACUCUCUUUGUGGGAUGCAUUCUUAUCGUUCUUGGCGAUCGUCUGGUCGAGGUGUAUAUGCAUAUGACCGACGCUAAGGAGUUGUGGGAUGCACUGAAUACUAAAUUCGGUGCUACUGAUGCUAGCAAUGAUCUGUAUAUCAUGGAGCAGUUUCACGACUACAAGAUGGCUGACAACCGUUCUGUAGUCGAACAGGCUCAUAAGAUACAAACCAUGGCUAAGGAAUUCGAACUCCUUAAGUGUGUCUUACCCGACAAAUUUGUGGCCGGGUGCAUUAUUGCGAAACUUCCUCCAUCUUGGAGAAGUUUCGGUACUGCACUCAAACACAAUUUGAGUCUAUGAACCAUAUUUAUGGCAGUGUGGAUGAUGAGGCUAAUGUCUGGCACUCACGUUUAUGUCAUAUUAAUUUUGGCUUGAUGUCUCGACUUUCCAGCAUGUGUUUAAUUCCUAAGUUUUCCAUUGUCAAAGGUUCUAAGUGCCAUAGUUGUGUGCAAUCAAAGCAACCUUGCAAGCCUUACAAGGCUGCUGAGGAGAGAAACUUGGCACCUCUAGAACUCUUACAUUCAGAUCUUUGUGAAAUGAAUUAGGUGUUGACGAAGGGUGGAAAACGAUAUUUCAUGACGUUGAUUGAUGAUGCUACUAGAUUUUGCUAUGUGUACUUGUUGAAAAUGAAAGACGAGGCUCUAGACUAUUUUAAAAUUUAUAAGGCAGAAGUUGAAAAUCAACUUGAUAGAAAGAUAAAAAGACUUAGGUCUGAUCGUGGUGGAGAGUUUUUCUCAAACGAGUUUGACUUAUUCUGUGAGGAACAUGACAUUAUACAUGAGAGGACGCCUCCCUAUUCUCCUGAGUCUAAUGGGAUUGCUGAAAGGGAGAACCGCACACUGACUGACUUGGUGAAUGCCAUGUUGGACACACUUGGUGAAUGCCAUGUUGGACACCGCGGGACUACCUAAGGCAUGGUGGGGAGAGGCAUUGCUGACCUCGAAUCAUGUGUUAAACAGAGUUCCUAACAGAAAUAAGGACAAAACACCAUAUGAAAUAUGGAUUGGGAGAAAACCAUCACUUUCUUUCUUGCGCACAUGGGGGUGCUUGGCGAAAGUCAAUGUACCAAUAACGAAGAAGCGCAAACUUGGACCUAAGACUGUGGACUGUGUCUUUCUGGGAUAUGCUCACCACAGCAUUGCCUAUAGAUUUUUAAUAGUUAAAUCUGAGGUACCUGACAUGCAUGUUGGUACAAUUAUGGAGUCUCGUGAUGCUACCUUUUUCCCAACGAAGGAUACACAUAGUAGUUCUAGUCAACCUUCUGAAAUAAUUGCCAAUUCAAUCACACCACCAGAACAAACUGAACAUACACAUGAACAUGUCACUAAGGAGGAUGACAGUGAAGCUCCUCGAAGGAGUAAAAGACAAAGGACGGCUAAGUCCUUUGGUGAUGAUUUCACUGUGUACCUCGUGGACGACACUCCUAAGUCAAUUUCAGAAGCAUAUGCAUCUCCUGAUGCAGACUACUGGAAGGAGGCUGUCCGUAGUGAAAUGGAUUCCAUUAUCGCUAACGGGACUUGGGAAGUGAUAAAGCGACCCUAUGGAUGUAAACCUGUGGGGUGCAAGUGGGUGUUCAAGAAGAAGUUUAGGCCUGAUGGUACUAUUAAAAAGUACAAGGCUCGACUUGUUGCUAAGGGCUAUACUCAGAAAGAAGGCGAAGAUUUCUUUGACGCUUACUCACCUGUUGCUAGAUUGACCACAAUUCGUGUGCUACUUUCCCUAGCAGCCUCACAUGGUCUUCUCGUUCAUCAAAUGGACGUUAAAAACAGCUUUUCUUAAUGGAGAGCUGGAUGAGGAGAUCUAUAUGGAUCAACCUGAUGGGUUUGUAGAUGAAGGUCAAGAAGGCAAAGUGUGCAAAUUGUUGAAGUCUUUGUAUGGUCUGAAACAAGCUCCUAAGCAAUGGCAUGAGAAAUUUGAUAGAACAUUGACAUCUGCAGGCUUCGCAGUCAAUGAGGCAGAUAAAUGUGUAUACUAUCGCCAUGGUGGGGGUGAGGGAGUUAUUCUGUGCUUGUAUGUUGAUGACAUACUGAUAUUUGGGACAAAUCUUGAGGUAAUAAAUGAGGUUAAAUUAUUCUUGUCUCAAAAAUUUGAUAUGAAGGAUUUGGGAGUAGCUGAUGUUAUCCUAAACAUCAAGCUAAUUAGAGGUGAGAAUGUGAUUACACUCUUGCAGUCCCAUUAUGUGGAGAAGAUCUCGAAUCGCUUUGGCUACAUUGAUAGUAAGCCUUCUCCAACACCUUAUGAUCCUAGCUUGUUGCUUCGCAAGAACAAGAGAAUUGCUAGGAAUCAACUGGAAUACUACCAAAUCAUUGGCUCGCUGAUGUACCUGGCUAGUGCAACUAGGCCUGAUAUCUCCUUUGCUGUGAGCAAGUUGAGCCGGUUUACCUCUAAUCCAGGAGAUGAUCACUGGCGUGCGCUUGAGCGAGUAAUGCGCUAUCUGAAAGGUACUAUGGAAUUGGGGCUUCACUAUUCUAGGUACCCUGCGGUACUGGAAUGAUAUAGUGAUUCUAACUGGAUCUCUGAUGUGGAUGAGAUCAAAGCCACUAGUGAAUAUGUCUUCACACUAGGUGGUGGUGCUGUUUCGUGGAGAUCUUGCAAACAGACCAUUUUGACGAGGUCAACCAUGGAAGCGGAGUUGACGGCACUGGAUACUGCUACUGUUGAGGCAGAAUGGCUGCGUGAUCUAUUAAUGGAUCUGCCUAUUGUUGAAAAACCGGUGCCGGCUAUCCUUAUGAACUGUGACAAUCAAACGGUAAUUGUCAAAGUGAAUAGUUCUAAGGAUAAUAUGAAAUCGUCUAGACAUGUGAAAAGACGAUUGAAGUCUGUCAGGAAAUUGAGAAACUCCGGAGUUAUAACGUUGGAUUACAUCCAAACAACUAGAAACCUGGCAGAUCCCUUCACGAAGGGACUAUCACGAAAUGUGAUAGACAAUACAUCGAAGGAGAUGGGUUUGAGACCCAUGUGAGUUAUACUAUGGUGGUAACCCAGUCUAUGUGAUCGGAGAUCCCGUAAAUUAGAUCCUGGGAAGAACAAACCAUUAGUAAACUAGAGGAGAGUACCAAUAUAUACCCUCUCUAAGUGAAGAUGCAUGUACUCUCGUGAGCUGCAAGGCAGGUUGGCUAUACCUUAAUGAGUUCUGUUGGCUUUAAUUAGCGAAGAUGCUGUCCUGCAGAGCAUUCUUGAAAGAACUCACCUUUGUGAGCUUGACUGUUGGUCGCAGUCUAUGAAGAUUUUGGGUGAAUCUUCUAGGAAGCUUACUAAAGACCUAGGAGUAUGACUUAUACGCUCCACCCGAGGGGUAGUGUACAGACGAUCUAGUACCAGAUAAGACUUUGAGUGAAACUUGCUUGCACAAGACUUGCAAUUCAAGGCGUAGUCCAUUGUUCAAGUUGUGAGUAAGUGUAGCUUGGAGUUCUAGAUGGAUGUUCAACCUUAAUCGGUCUCCAUCGAACCGCUGGUAUAUAAACAGUACAUUGGUAAAGGCAAAUCUCAGUGGGAUUUUGACAUUUGGUGGGGGAUUGUUGGAAUUAAUGGAUGGGCCUUAGCCCACUCGAAGAUUAAUUCUUUAGAAAAUCACAAAAGCCCACCUCAUGGGAUGGCAUGCAUGUGGAGUUUAGUACCACCUUGCUUAUUCUAG